This 491-nucleotide ribosomal RNA is filed under the name uncultured bacterium. RNAcentral's name for it is "bacterial SSU rRNA". It matches the Rfam family "Bacterial small subunit ribosomal RNA", at positions 28 to 514 of the family's 1533-position model. The record is from RNAcentral.
GAUGAACGCUAGCGGCAGGCUUAAUACAUGCAAGUCGAGGGGCAGCACAGUGUAGCAAUACAUGGGUGGCGACCGGCAAACGGGUGCGGAACACGUACAGAACCUUCCUUCGAGCGGGGAAUAGCCCAGAGAAAUUUGGAUUAAUACCCCAUAGGAUAGUGGAGUGGCAUCACUCAGCUAUUAAAGAUUUAUCACUUGAAGAUGGCUGUGCGUCUGAUUAGGUAGUUGGCGGGGUAACGGCCCACCAAGCCAGCGAUCAGUAACUGGUGUGAGAGCACGACCAGUCACACGGGCACUGAGACACGGGCCCGACUCCUACGGGAGGCAGCAGUAAGGAAUAUGGGCAAUGGAGGCAACUCUGACCCAGCCAUCCCGCGUGCAGGAUGAAGGCCCUCUGGGUCGUAAACUGCUUUGUCUGGGAAGAAAAAGCUAUAUUAUAUAGAACUGACGGUACCAGACGAAUAAGCACCGGCUAACUACCGUGCCAGCAG